Molecule: ribosomal RNA, 1272 nt
Filed under: Triticum aestivum (bread wheat)
Lineage: Eukaryota; Viridiplantae; Streptophyta; Magnoliopsida; Poales; Poaceae
Description: partial small subunit ribosomal RNA
Source: RNAcentral
AUGGAGGAGAAGAGCUCUCGGCACAAGAAGGCAAGGGCGACCAACCCUCCGGCGUCGGCGCAGGAGGCAGUUCCGGUGGCGGAGGCGGCCAGCCUCCUGACGGACGACCUCAUCGUGGAGAUCCUCUCCCACCUCCCCGCCAGGUCCGUCCACCGCUUCAAGUGCGUCUCGCCGUCCUGGCGCGCCCUCAUCACGGACCCCGCCAACCGCAAGAAGCUGCCCCAGGCCCUCGCCGGCUUCCUCUACAGCACCUUCCACAGGAGAGACCCCCACUUCCAUGAAUUCCACUUCGCCAACAUCUCCAACAGCCCAUCCCCGCCGGUUGACCCGCUCCUCCCUUUCUUGCCAUCCGACAAGUACCUGUACGUCAACCAGCUGGACACCUGCAAUGGCCUCCUCCUCUGCCGCGUCCACAUGGCCCCUUCUUCUCCUUCCGGGGACGAGAAUACGCCGGUUGAAUCCCAUUACAUCGUGUGCAAUCCGGCCACCGGGAGGUGGGUCGACCUCCCCCCUCACCCUGAGGCGCCUCCUGACAGCUUCGUCUUCGCUCGUUUGGCUUUUGAUCCAGCAGUCUCCUCCCAUUUCCGUGUUCUUCAAUUUGAGAACAGCGAUCUGAAGAAAUACGUCACAGGAGUCAACAUAUACUCUUCGCAAACUGGAGCCUGGAAUCAUAGAGAAAGUCGCUUGUUUGAGAAAAUUACCCUCUUCGCCGGCCUUUCCGGUGUCUUCUUUCACGGUAUGCUACACUUGCUUGGUUGGCUGCACCACCCCCUGUACAUGGACGAAAAUUUUGUGCUGGUAGCAGUGGACGUGGAGGGGCAGGUGUGGAAGACUACCCGUUUGCCUUCACGUGGUUUGGGUUUUGGUAGAAUUGGAUUGUCACAGGGGUGCUUGCACUAUGCUAGCAAAGUCCUACCUACUGUUGACAAUAACAAGAAGAAGAAGAAGAAAAAGGAGGAGGAUACAUCUCUAGCUGCCGAGAUAGCAGCAGUCUGGUGCAUGAAGGAUUAUGAUAGUAAGGAAUGGAUUUUGAAGCAUAGUGUCACCAUUGCUGAGUUAUGGAGCAUAACUUCGGCAGAGUUCGAUGUUGCUGCUAUUCAUCCAGACCGCGGCAGCAUUUUCUUGUAUUCAUAUGAUGAUGAUACAUUGGCAUCAUACGAUAUGCAACAUCGACUUCAUCGUAUCCUUCAUCUCGAGGAAAACAACACAGCAAUAUUUCUACCCUAUGUUCCACUCUUCUCAGACUCAUUUGCAGGUGCAGAUGGGCAGUAG